MicroRNA precursor from Chlorocebus sabaeus (green monkey), 59 nucleotides. Lineage: Eukaryota; Metazoa; Chordata; Mammalia; Primates; Cercopithecidae. The record is from Ensembl.
AUCUUUUAAAAUACAGAGGGUACUGUAAUGGACCUUUCCCUCUGUAUUUUAAAGGAUGC